GACGGGUGAGUAACACGUGGGUAACCUGCCUGUAAGACUGGGAUAACUCCGGGAAACCGGAGCUAAUACCGGAUAGUUCCUUGAACCGCAUGGUUCAAGGAUGAAAGACGGUUUCGGCUGUCACUUACAGAUGGACCCGCGGCGCAUUAGCUAGUUGGUGGGGUAAUGGCUCACCAAGGCGACGAUGCGUAGCCGACCUGAGAGGGUGAUCGGCCACACUGGGACUGAGACACGGCCCAGACUCCUACGGGAGGCAGCAGUAGGGAAUCUUCCGCAAUGGACGAAAGUCUGACGGAGCAACGCCGCGUGAGUGAUGAAGGUUUUCGGAUCGUAAAGCUCUGUUGUUAGGGAAGAACAAGUGCGAGAGUAACUGCUCGCACCUUGACGGUACCUAACCAGAAAGCCACGGCUAACUACGUGCCAGCAGCCGCGGUAAUACGUAGGUGGCAAGCGUUGUCCGGAAUUAUUGGGCGUAAAGGGCUCGCAGGCGGUUUCUUAAGUCUGAUGUGAAAGCCCCCGGCUCAACCGGGGAGGGUCAUUGGAAACUGGGAAACUUGAGUGCAGAAGAGGAGAGUGGAAUUCCACGUGUAGCGGUGAAAUGCGUAGAGAUGUGGAGGAACACCAGUGGCGAAGGCGACUCUCUGGUCUGUAACUGACGCUGAGGAGCGAAAGCGUGGGGAGCGAACAGGAUUAGAUACCCUGGUAGUCCACGCCGUAAACGAUGAGUGCUAAGUGUUAGGGGGUUUCCGCCCCUUAGUGCUGCAGCUAACGCAUUAAGCACUCCGCCUGGGGAGUACGGU
RNAcentral lists this ribosomal RNA (800 nucleotides) under Bacillus pumilus. RNAcentral's name for it is "bacterial SSU rRNA". It matches the Rfam family "Bacterial small subunit ribosomal RNA", at positions 100 to 886 of the family's 1533-position model. The record is from RNAcentral. Lineage: Bacteria; Bacillati; Bacillota; Bacilli; Caryophanales; Bacillaceae.